UAGAGUUUGAUCCUGGCUCAGAUUAAACGCUGGCGGCAUGCCUUACACAUGCAAGUCGAACGGUAGCGCGGGGCAACCUGGCGACGAGUGGCGAACGGGUGAGUAAAGCAUCGGAACGUGCCCUGGAAUGGGGGAUAACGUAGCGAAAGUUACGCUAAUACCGCAUAUUCUGUGAGCAGGAAAGCAGGGGAUCGCAAGACCUUGCGUUCUGGGAGCGGCCGAUGUCGGAUUAGCUAGUUGGUGGGGUAAAAGCCUACCAAGGCGACGAUCCGUAGCGGGUCUGAGAGGAUGAUCCGCCACACUGGGACUGAGACACGGCCCAGACUCCUACGGGAGGCAGCAGUGGGGAAUUUUGGACAAUGGGCGGAAGCCUGAUCCAGCCAUGCCGCGUGAGUGAAGAAGGCCUUCGGGUUGUAAAGCUCUUUCGGUGGGGAAGAAAUUGCACGGAUGAAUACCCUGUGUAGAUGACGGUACCCGACUAAGAAGCUCUAGCGAACUACGUGCCAGCAGCCGCGGUAAUA
This 521-nucleotide ribosomal RNA is filed under the name uncultured bacterium. Its description in RNAcentral is "bacterial SSU rRNA". It matches the Rfam family "Bacterial small subunit ribosomal RNA", at positions 1 to 525 of the family's 1533-position model. The record is from RNAcentral.